Molecule: ribosomal RNA, 1248 nt
Filed under: metagenome
Description: bacterial SSU rRNA
Rfam family: Bacterial small subunit ribosomal RNA
Source: RNAcentral
UAUUAGCUUGUUGGCGGGGUAACGGCCCACCAAGGCAACGAUCAGUAGGGGUUCUGAGAGGAAGGUCCCCCACAUUGGAACUGAGACACGGUCCAAACUCCUACGGGAGGCAGCAGUGAGGAAUAUUGGUCAAUGGACGAGAGUCUGAACCAGCCAAGUAGCGUGCAGGAAGACGGCCCUAUGGGUUGUAAACUGCUUUUAUAAGGGAAUAAAGUGAGAGUCGUGACUCUUUUUGCAUGUACCUUAUGAAUAAGGACCGGCUAAUUCCGUGCCAGCAGCCGCGGUAAUACGGAAGGUCCGGGCGUUAUCCGGAUUUAUUGGGUUUAAAGGGAGCGUAGGCCGGAGAUUAAGCGUGUUGUGAAAUGUAGACGCUCAACGUCUGCACUGCAGCGCGAACUGGUUUCCUUGAGUACGCACAAAGUGGGCGGAAUUCGUGGUGUAGCGGUGAAAUGCUUAGAUAUCACGAAGAACUCCGAUUGCGAAGGCAGCUCACUGGAGCGCAACUGACGCUGAAGCUCGAAAGUGCGGGUAUCGAACAGGAUUAGAUACCCUGGUAGUCCGCACGGUAAACGAUGGAUGCCCGCUGUUGGUCUGAAUAGGUCAGCGGCCAAGCGAAAGCAUUAAGCAUCCCACCUGGGGAGUACGCCGGCAACGGUGAAACUCAAAGGAAUUGACGGGGGCCCGCACAAGCGGAGGAACAUGUGGUUUAAUUCGAUAUACGCGAGGAACCUUACCCGGGCUUGAAUUGCAGAGGAAGGAUUUGGAGACGAUGACGCCCUUCGGGGCCUCUGUGAAGGUGCUGCAUGGUUGUCGUCAGCUCGUGCCGUGAGGUGUCGGCUUAAGUGCCAUAACGAGCGCAACCCCUCUCCUUAGUUGCCAUCAGGUUAAGCUGGGCACUCUGGGGACACUGCCACCGUAAGGUGUGAGGAAGGUGGGGAUGACGUCAAAUCAGCACGGCCCUUACGUCCGGGGCUACACACGUGUUACAAUGGCAGGUACAGAGAGACGGUCCCUUGCAAAACGGAUCAAAUCCUUAAAGCCUGUCUCAGUUCGGACUGGGGUCUGCAACCCGACCCCACGAAGCUGGAUUCGCUAGUAAUCGCGCAUCAGCCAUGGCGCGGUGAAUACGUUCCCGGGCCUUGUACACACCGCCCGUCAAGCCAUGAAAGCCGGGGGCGCCUAAAGUCCGUGACCGUAAGGAGCGGCCUAGGGCGAAACUGGUAAUUGGGGCUAAGUCGUAACAAGGUA